RNAcentral lists this ribosomal RNA (382 nucleotides) under uncultured eukaryote. RNAcentral describes it as "SSU rRNA". It matches the Rfam family "Eukaryotic small subunit ribosomal RNA", at positions 587 to 972 of the family's 1831-position model. The record is from RNAcentral.
AGCUCCAAUAGCGUAUAUUAAAGUUGUUGCGGUUAAAAAGCUCGUAGUUGGAUUUCUGUCGAGGGCAGCCGGUCGGGCCUUAGUGUCAUGUAUCUGGUUUGGUCUUGGCAUCCUCUUGAGGAACGUUUCUGCGCUUCAUUGCGUGGGGCGAGAUUCAAGACUUUUACUUUGAGGAAAUUAGAGUGUUCACGGCAAGCUAUCGCUUUGAAUACAUUAGCAUGGAAUAAUAAUAUAGGGCGUACGUCUUAUUUUGUUGGUUUCUAGGAUAUACGCAAUGAUUAAUAGGGACAAUUGGGGGCAUUCGUAUUGACGCGUCAGAGGUGGAAUUCUUAGAUUGCGUCACGACGAACUACUGCGAAAGCAUUUGCCAAGGAUGUUUUCA